This 3279-nucleotide long non-coding RNA is filed under the name Linum usitatissimum (flax). Its description in RNAcentral is "long non-coding RNA (LUSI_LNC003192)". Lineage: Eukaryota; Viridiplantae; Streptophyta; Magnoliopsida; Malpighiales; Linaceae. The record is from RNAcentral.
UAUUCGCGCAGGGAAAGGUAAGGCGAGAAACCGUAGAUACGUAUCUCGUAAGGGGCCAUUGGUUGUCUACGGUAAUGAAGGUGCUAAGCUGGUUAAGGCAUUCCGUAACAUUCCUGGUGUGGAGAUUGCCAAUGUGGAACGCCUCAACCUUUUGAAGCUGGCUCCCGGUGGUCAUUUAGGUCGGUUUGUGAUCUGGACCAAGUCCGCUUUUGAGAAGCUUGAUUCUAUCUAUGGAACUUUUGAGAAGGCUUCGGAGAAGAAGAAUGGUUAUGUUUUGCCCAGGGCUAAGAUGGUGAAUGCUGACCUUGCUAGGAUUAUCAACUCCGAUGAGGUUCAGUCUGUGGUGAAACCCGCCAACAAGGAAGUUAAGAGGGCGACCCUGAAGAAGAAUCCAUUGAAGAACUUGAACGUGAUGUUUAAGCUUAACCCGUAUGCCAAGACCGCUAGGAGGAUGUCCUUAUUAGCUGAUGCUCAGCGCGUUAAGUCUAAGAAGGAGAAGCUUGACAGGAAGAGGACUCCCAUUAGCAAGGUAAAAAUCAGAGUUUUCUCUCUUUGAUGACACUUGAUAUUAGUAAAACUUAGCUGUAAUUAUUAUGUGAGCUGAAUGAUUUGAUCGCAUUCUAUUGUUGGGUACAGCAAUGUUCUCUGUUGUUGUUUAAGUAGGGCAUAGAAUUCUCUGUUCUAUGUUCGGUGUAACAUAAUCUUGUUGAUAGCCGUAGCAUUUUGAAUGGCACAUCUUGGCUGUCCGAAAGCCAAGUGCUUUGACACUUUCUCAAUAGUUCUUCAUGUCUGUUGAUUGAAUGUUCAUAAGAAUCUUGACCUGAGUUGCUUCUUGAACGUGUGAUUCUUCUUUGAACUAAGGGAUUGCUGAGUUGGGUUUUGUUUGUUAAAAUGGGUGAAUUUGAGCAGGAAGAAGCAAGUGCAAUCAAGGCUGCUGGAAAGGCAUGGUACAAAACAAUGGAAUCGGAAAGCGAUUACUCAGAGUUCGAGAUUUUCUCCAAAUGGCUCGGUGCAUCGCAGUAAUAAUUUCGGCGACUUUGUAUUUGUGGUUCUUGUCAAGGUUUAUAAUUAGAAGUUUGGAGAGGUUGGAUUUUACUAGGUAUUUUUGAUUUGUGUUUCCAGAGGGAUGCAACUUCUACCAAUUUUGUUUGUUGUUUGAACUUUUCAUCUUCUUAAAAUGGGGAAGGCAAUCAAUUGACAUUUCUAAAUUCAAUCUCCUAUUCAGCUAUUUUCCACUCAAAAUUGUCAUUUUUUUGUUGCGAAUUUAAUAUGGCCGAAUUUCGACUAAAUUGAUAGGCCUAAAUUUUAUGUAUUCUAUAGUCUAACCAUUUUGAAAAUGUUUUAGGGCUUGCAUUUUGCAAGUUUAGAAAUUUAACCAGAGGAUUGUAAACAGCUUAAUCAUAAUUGUAUAAUACAACAUUCUAUUACUAAUGUUAUGAUUAAUAAAAAAAAAUGUAAGAUAUCUUAAGAAUUGGAUUUUUUUAAAGUAAAUGUCUACACAUAUAUUAAUUAUGAAACUUGAAACACACAUCAUUUAGACAAUAUAUGAUCUGAUUAAUACCCGAAUGUCCACACACAUUAAGAUUAAUAUAAACCAUAUGAUAUGAGCAUCAAAUGUUUGGUACAACUAUCCUACUCGGGCCUAAGGCCCGGACCAGAUAUCUAGUGGGUUUAGCCCAAUUAGCCCACCGCACCAGUUAACAAACCUAGCCGCGAAACUUAUCGAUAUAUAAACUUCCGAAAUCCCAGAUCCCCUACUCCGCCUUCCAAAACCCUAGAAGCCAUUUGUAUUCAGCUCCACUCUUCCUUUCCCCAGCUCGGCGAAAUGGCUGCAACCGCUGCUGCACGUCCCCUCGUCUCCGUCCAAACCCUACCCGUCCUCAAUGAUAUGUCCACCGAUUCCCCCACCACCGUACACCUCCCCGACGUGAUGCGAUCCUCCAUCCGUCCCGACAUCGUCAACUUCGUCCACGCCCAGAUGUCGAACAACAGUCGCCAACCCUACGCCGUCUCCAAGAAGGCCGGUCACCAGACCUCCGCCGAGUCAUGGGGUACCGGCCGUGCCGUUUCGCCUAUUCUUCGUGUUUCUGUCGUGGUGGACGCAUGUUCGCUCCCACCAAGAUCUGGCGCCGCUGGCACAGGAGGAUCAACGUCAACCAGAAGCGAUACGCUGUCGUUUCCGCGAUCGCCGCAUCUGCCGUGCCUUCUCUGGUGAUGGCGCGCGCCCACCGGAUUGACACUGUUCCUGAAUUGCCCCUGGUGAUCAACGAUUCCGCGGAGGGUGUCGAGAAGACUUCCACCGCCAUCAAGGUGUUGAAGGAGAUCGGAGCUUAUGCCGACGCCGAGAAGGCCAAGGACAGCCAGGCGAUCCGCGCCGGGAAAGGUAAGGCUAGGAACCGUAGAUACGUAUCUCGUAAGGGACCAUUGGUUGUUUACGGUAAUGAAGGUGCUAAGCUGGUUAAGGCCUUCCGUAACAUUCCUGGUGUUGAGAUCGCCAAUGUGGAACGCCUCAACCUUUUGAAGCUGGCUCCUGGUGGUCAUUUGGGACGGUUUGUGAUCUGGACCAAAUCUGCUUUUGAGAAGCUUGACUCGAUCUAUGGAUCGUUUGAGAAGGCUUCGGAGCAGAAGAAUGGUUAUGUCUUGCCCAGGGCCAAGAUGGUGAAUGCUGACCUUGCUAGGAUCAUCAACUCCGAUGAGGUUCAGUCUGUGGUGAAACCCGUCAACAAGGAAGUUAAGAGGGCCACGCUGAAGAAGAAUCCAUUGAAGAACUUGAACGUGAUGCUUAAGCUUAACCCGUAUGCCAAGACUGCUAGGAGAAUGUCAUUGUUGGCUGACGCCCAGCGCGUUAAAUCUAAGAAGGAGAAGCUUGACAGGAAGAGGACUCCCAUUAGCAAGGUAAAAUCAGAGUUUUCUCUCUUUGAUGACACUUGAUGUUAGUAAAUUAGUAAACUUAACUGUAAUUAUUAUGUUGGCUGAAUGAUUUGAUCGCAUUCUAUUGUUGGAUAUAGCAAUGUUCUCUGUUGUUUUCUGGGGUAGGGCAUAUAAUUCUUUGUUCCAGGUGCGGUGCAACCUAAUCUUGUUGAUAAGCAUAGCAUUUUGAAUGGCACAUCUUAGCUGUCCGAAAGCCAAGUGCUUUGACACUGUCCCAAUAGUUCUUCAUGUCUGUUGAUUGAAUGUUCAUAAGAAUCCUGACCUGAGAUUCUUCUUGAACGUGUAAUUGUUCUUUGAACUAAGGGGAUUGCUGAGUUGGAUUUUGUUUGUUAAAUGGGUGAAUUUGAG